RNAcentral lists this ribosomal RNA (406 nucleotides) under uncultured bacterium. Its description in RNAcentral is "partial 16S ribosomal RNA". It matches the Rfam family "Bacterial small subunit ribosomal RNA", at positions 29 to 526 of the family's 1533-position model. The record is from RNAcentral.
AUUGAACGCUGGCGGCAGGCCUAACACAUGCAAGUCGAACGAGUGGCGGACGGGUGAGUAAUGUCUGGGAAACUGCCUGAUAGAGGGGGAUAACUACUGGAAACGGUAGCUAAUACCGCAUACCAUCAGAUGUGCCCAGAUGGGAUUAGCUUGUUGGUGGGGUAACGGCUCACCAAGGCGACGAGCCCUAGCUGGUCUGAGAGGAUGACCGGCCACACGGGAACUGGGACACGGUCCAGACUCCUACGGGAGGCAGCAGGGGAGAAGAUUGGACGAUGGGCGAAAGGCUGAAGCAGCCAUGCCGCAUGGAUGAAGAAGGCCUGCGGGUUGUAAAGUACUAUCAGCGGGGAGGCGUUACCCGCAGAAGAAGCACCGGCUAACUCCGUGCCAGCAGCCGCGGUAAUAC